GAGUUUGAUCAUGGCUCAGGAUGAACGCUAGCGACAGGCUUAACACAUGCAAGUCGAGGGGCAGCGGGGCGGCAGGCUUGCCUGCCGUUGCCGGCGACCGGCGCACGGGUGAGUAACACGUAUGCAACCUGCCCGUGGCAGGGGGAUAAGCGGGGGAAACCCCGUCUAAUACCGCGUAACGCGGCCUAGGGACAUCCCAAGGCCGCCAAAGGGAGCAAUCCCGGCCACGGAUGGGCAUGCGGCGCAUUAGCUAGUCGGCGGGGUAACGGCCCACCGAGGCGACGAUGCGUAGGGGUUCUGAGAGGAAGGCCCCCCACACUGGUACUGAGACACGGACCAGACUCCUACGGGAGGCAGCAGUGAGGAAUAUUGGUCAAUGGGCGCGAGCCUGAACCAGCCAAGUCGCGUGAGGGAGGACGGCCCUACGGGUUGUAAACCUCUUUUGCCGGGGAGCAACGGGCGCCACGUGUGGCGUCACUGAGAGUACCCGGAGAAAAAGCAUCGGCUAACUCCGUGCCAGCAGCCGCGGUAAUACGGAGGAUGCGAGCGUUAUCCGGAUUUAUUGGGUUUAAAGGGUGCGUAGGCGGAUCGUUAAGUCAGUGGUCAAAUUGAGGGGCUCAACCCCUUCCCGCCAUUGAAACUGGCGCUCUUGAGUGGAAGAGAAGUAUGCGGAAUGCGUGGUGUAGCGGUGAAAUGCAUAGAUAUCACGCAGAACCCCGAUUGCGAAGGCAGCAUGCCGGCUUCCGACUGACGCUGAAGCACGAAAGCGUGGGGAUCGAACAGGAUUAGAUACCCUGGUAGUCCACGCGGUAAACGAUGAGCGCUAGGUGUCCGGGGGGAAUGGCCCCUGGGUGCCACAGCGAAAGCGUUAAGCGCUCCACCUGGGGAGUACGCCGGCAACGGUGAAACUCAAAGGAAUUGACGG
Molecule: ribosomal RNA, 925 nt
Filed under: uncultured bacterium
Lineage: Bacteria
Description: bacterial SSU rRNA
Rfam family: Bacterial small subunit ribosomal RNA
Source: RNAcentral